GUUUCCGUAGGUGAACCUGCGGAAGGAUCAUUAUCGAAUAAACUUGAACAGGCUGUUUUUUGCUGGCCCUUGAAAGAGGGCAUGUGCACGCUUGUCCAUCUUUGUCAUUUCUCCAAACUGUGCACAUACUGUAGACCCUGGGGGGAGCAUUAUGAAUGAAUUUCCAUUCGAGUUGGGGAUUGCUGCGCUUACAAAAGAAAAAGUCGGCUUUCCCUUGUAUUUUUUCAGGUCUAUGUUGUUUUUCACAACCUCUAUAACAUGUUUAGAAUGUUGAAUCAAGGUCUUUGUACCUAUAUAAAAAGUUAAUACAACUUUCAGCAACGGAUCUCUUGGCUCUCGCAUCGAUGAAGAACGCAGCGAAAUGCGAUAAGUAAUGUGAAUUGCAGAAUUCAGUGAAUCAUCGAAUCUUUGAACGCAUCUUGCGCUCCUUGGUAUUCCGAGGAGCAUGCCUGUUUGAGUGUCAUUUGACCUUCUCAACCACAUCGUUCUUGUUUUGAACGUGUGUGGCUUGGAUGUGGGGGAAUAAUUUUAUUUUGCAGGCUUCAAAUCAAGAAGCCGGCUCCCCUGAAAUGCAUUAGUGGUGUCUGAGCUGCUAUUGGUGUGAUAAAUUAUCUAUGCCUUUGGUGAUGCUGGUCAGCACUGCUUAUAACGGACGUGUGAUCAUUUGACAAAUUUGACCUCAAAUCAGGUAGGACUACCCGCUGAACUUAAGCAUAUCAAUAAGCGGAGGAAAAGAAACUAACAAGGAUUCCCCUAGUAACUGCGAGUGAAGCGGGAAGAGCUCAAAUUUGAAAUCUGGCAGCUCUUUGA
RNAcentral lists this ribosomal RNA (810 nucleotides) under uncultured Inocybe. RNAcentral describes it as "eukaryotic LSU rRNA". The stretch from base 310 to 463 matches the Rfam family "5.8S ribosomal RNA". Lineage: Eukaryota; Fungi; Basidiomycota; Agaricomycetes; Agaricales; Cortinariaceae. The record is from RNAcentral.